AAAAAAAAAAAAAGAAAGAAAUAAAACUGUGAAGUUAUGGAGACUAUAGUUCUGCACCUUUUAUUUGUCUGUUUAAUAAAAGAUUAUUUUUUCACCAUGUAAUUUUAAAAAGCACUUACUGCAGUAAAUUAAAAAAUCAGCUUAAUGAAGUACAUCAUCAUUUUCACCACAUUGUUAUCCACCACUACCAGUUCACCAAAACUAUCACUAUCAUCAAAACCAUCACCAGCACUGCCGCCUACAACUAUGAUCAUCACUACCAUCAUCAAUAUGGUUGUGACCUACAAUUACCAUUAGUUUCCCUAUCACCAUCACCCCACCACUAUCAGCACCAUCACAGCAACCAUUACUGCUAUAACGAUCCACCACAACACUGCCAGAAGUGCAAUGUUUGAUUUAAAGAUGGAAGAAAGGAAGGAUGGAAGACAAAGAAACUGAAGAAUAGAGAAGGGGAUGGAUGAACGUCUAUCUUUCCUUUGGUAUGUUUGGUUAGAGAAUGUUAUUCUCCCCAUUUUUUACAUUGCCAAAAAAUUCCAAUAAAAAGAUUCAUCAAUAGGCAUUAGAUAUAGGGGUAAAAUAAACUUUGUUCUUCCAAUAUUCCCAAUUUGGGAUAACAGAUUUUUAUGGGCCCAACAGGAAGGAUGACUUCCCUUCAUUUUUUUCCUCCAACCAAACAAUGGAAAUGUACCCUUAUCUGAAUCUUUCUCCUCAUCUUUUUCCUUCCCUCCCCACUUUCCUCUCAACCAAACAUAGAGUACAAGUGUCCAUGACCACCACUUUCAUUAUUAUGUUAACCAUUUUAUUGGUUUCUUUACAACUUUCGUUAGUAUAUUUGGAUAAUAUAAUUAAAUUUAUAGCUCAUAGUCCAGUUAUAAAAUAUUAGCACUUAAAUUUAAGCUUGUAGAUUAACAAUUUUUGGAUAUUGAUAAGGAAUUAGUUUCAAACAUAGCUGAAUGGCAAAAAAUGAUUCA
RNAcentral lists this unclassified non-coding RNA (971 nucleotides) under Hevea brasiliensis (rubber tree). Lineage: Eukaryota; Viridiplantae; Streptophyta; Magnoliopsida; Malpighiales; Euphorbiaceae. The record is from RNAcentral.